AAACCUGAGAAACCCGAAAGUUCGAAUGAAAAGAUUCAAUAUUCUUCAAUUGGUUGUACAUUUACUUUGUGAUUAUGUGAUAGUUUUAUGUUAAUUUCUUUAUCCUUCACUGGAUUUUGAAUGUACAUAUAUUCUACACCACUUUGUUUAUGAAUAAAUACAACUAUGAAGGUAUGCACUUCUUUUCUAGUAGGACGUUGCGACCCAUUGAAUGUUAAUCUACGGCUACUCGUUAGAGCCUAUUCCUAUUUUACUUAAUUGUAUUUAUGGGAAAUAGAUUUCUGAGUGUGUCCCGAAUAACUGUUCGAUGGUAUUUAUAAAACCAUAAUAUUGGAUCGCCACUUUGUCUGGGCAUUUGGUAUUCAUUCAAGUAUGUAAGGUAAUUUAAAUGUCAGGGGCUCUUGUACUGGCUUUGAAUCCUAACUACUGUUCGAGUGAAAUUUACUAUCAAAUAGUAUCCUUUUAUUGGUCAGCAACGCUGUUGCUUUGGGUACUUUCAGGAC
Molecule: ribosomal RNA, 503 nt
Filed under: Panorpodes paradoxus
Lineage: Eukaryota; Metazoa; Arthropoda; Insecta; Mecoptera; Panorpodidae
Description: partial 28S rRNA
Source: RNAcentral